GAUGAACGCUGGCGGCGUGCCUAAUACAUGCAAGUCGAGCGAACAGACGAGGAGCUUGCUCCUUUGACGUUAGCGGCGGACGGGUGAGUAACACGUAGGUAACCUACCUAUAAGACUGGGAUAACUUCGGGAAGCCGGAGCUAAUACCGGAUAAUAUUUCGAACCGCAUGGUUCGAUAGUGAAAGAUGGCUUUGCUAUCACUUAUAGAUGGACCUGCGCCGUAUUAGCUAGUUGGUAAGGUAACGGCUUACCAAGGCAACGAUACGUAGCCGACCUGAGAGGGUGAUCGGCCACACUGGAACUGAGACACGGUCCAGACUCCUACGGGAGGCAGCAGUAGGGAAUCUUCCGCAAUGGGCGAAAGCCUGACGGAGCAACGCCGCGUGAGUGAUGAAGGUCUUCGGAUCGUAAAACUCUGUUAUUAGGGAAGAACAAACGUGUAAGUAACUGUGCACGUCCUGACGGUACCUAAUCAGAAAGCCACGGCUAACUACGUG
RNAcentral lists this ribosomal RNA (497 nucleotides) under uncultured bacterium. RNAcentral describes it as "partial 16S ribosomal RNA". It matches the Rfam family "Bacterial small subunit ribosomal RNA", at positions 28 to 507 of the family's 1533-position model. The record is from RNAcentral.